UUGACGGGGCCCGCACAAACGGUGAGCAUGUGGUUAAUUCGACGCAACGCGAAGAACCUUACCAGGCUUGACAUCCCCUGACCGCGUAUGAAAGUACGUUUUCACCCUCGGGUGACAGGGAGACAGGUGGUGCAUGGUUGUCGUCAGCUCGUGUCGUGAGAUGUUGGGUUAAGUCCCGCAACGAGCGCAACCCCUACGUUUAGUUGCUAACGCGUGAAGGCGAGCACUCUAGACGAACUGCCGUUGACAAAACGGAGGAAGGUGGGAUGACGUCAAAUCAUCAUGCCCCUUAUGUUCUGGGCUACACACGUGCUACAAUGGCCGGUACAGACGGACGCAAAGCCGCGAGGUGGAGCAAAUCCUAAAAAGCCGGUCUCAGUUCGGAUUGCAGGCUGCAAUUCGCCUGCAUGAAGUCGGAAUCGCUAGUAAUCGCAGGUCAGCAUACUGCGGUGAAUACGUUCCCGGGCCUU
This 470-nucleotide ribosomal RNA is filed under the name uncultured Pelotomaculum sp. RNAcentral describes it as "bacterial SSU rRNA". It matches the Rfam family "Bacterial small subunit ribosomal RNA", at positions 910 to 1382 of the family's 1533-position model. Lineage: Bacteria; Bacillati; Bacillota; Clostridia; Eubacteriales; Desulfotomaculaceae. The record is from RNAcentral.